GACAAGGCAUGUAGAGCAGGAAAUAAGCACAAUACGGGUAAAAUGAGACAAUGUCAGAAUAGGACACCUUGGUUGAAAGAAAAUGUAUUUGUGGAAGAAAAAAGAACCUUCUGGGAGAUUCUGAAGUCUAGUGGUUGGGUGACGAGGCUGAGGCAGGAGAAUGGCUUGAACCUGGGAGGCAGAGCUUGCAGUGAGUUAUUGUUAUUGCUGUCAUAACGAUGAGCACUUCACAACAGCUGUCACCACCAGAUGCAGCAGCAAUUGCAUGGAAUCAUAACUUAAAAAAUUAACAACCAGAUUUCUGAAGUUAGAGUUCUUAGUUUCAAAUCUUGUCUGCAUCAAAAUUGCUCUGUGACUUUGGGAAAGUUUAACCACUGAUUUCUACCUUGAAGAAAAAAAUGAGUAUAAUAAUAUCUAUCUCGUAAAAUGGUGGUGAAGAUCACAUGGGAUAAUGCAAAUGAAGUUUGUAUCUUAUUGCCUGAUACAUAAAGUAUAUUCAAUAAAUAUUUGCCAUUA
Long non-coding RNA from Homo sapiens (human), 516 nucleotides. RefSeq lists it as uncharacterized. The record is from RefSeq and is a predicted model, not a curated record. The transcript is spliced from 2 exons. NCBI's taxonomy places the organism in Eukaryota, Metazoa, Chordata, Mammalia, Primates, Hominidae.